This 65-nucleotide transfer RNA is filed under the name Dipodomys ordii (Ord's kangaroo rat). It matches the Rfam family "tRNA". From Rfam's summary of the family: Transfer RNA (tRNA) molecules are approximately 80 nucleotides in length. Their secondary structure includes four short double-helical elements and three loops (D, anti-codon, and T loops). Further hydrogen bonds mediate the characteristic L-shaped molecular structure. tRNAs have two regions of fundamental functional importance: the anti-codon, which is responsible for specific mRNA codon recognition, and the 3' end, to which the tRNAs corresponding amino acid is attached (by aminoacyl-tRNA synthetases). tRNAs cope with the degeneracy of the genetic code in two manners: having more than one tRNA (with a specific anti-codon) for a particular amino acid; and 'wobble' base-pairing, i.e. permitting non-standard base-pairing at the 3rd anti-codon position. Lineage: Eukaryota; Metazoa; Chordata; Mammalia; Rodentia; Heteromyidae. The record is from Rfam by way of RNAcentral.
GGUGGCUCAGUGUUAGAGUCCUUGCCUUGCAUGCAUGAGGCCCUGGGUUCGAUUCCUCAGCACCA